Molecule: non-coding RNA, 25 nt
Filed under: Mus musculus (house mouse)
Lineage: Eukaryota; Metazoa; Chordata; Mammalia; Rodentia; Muridae
Source: RNAcentral
UGGACGGUGUUAUUCCACACUAUUC